CCUGGUUUCAGGAGUGACGGGCGAUUUGUGCAUGCUUUAUUUCAUUUUCAGAUAAGAUUUUUAUUUCUUAAAUUAAUAUUAGGUUCUAUUUCCUUCUAUUUCUCAUAGGAAUUUCAAUUAAGUUUAUAUUUGUAUCACGCAACUUCUUUUUGUAUUUUCUCUGUCUUGAUUUGUUUUUCUACUCUUAGUUUUACAUUCGAAUUCAUUUCUUCUCUUUUAAAACAAUGAUAUAGAGGAUUAUAACAAAAGUAGAUUUUUAUCGUGGGUUAUCUAUUAAAGUGUAGGAUUCCCUAAUUUGAUGAAGCACCGCCAUGUUUCUUAGAUUUCUCUUAUUUAGAUACUAUCUUUUUAUAUUCUAGAA
RNAcentral lists this ribosomal RNA (361 nucleotides) under Tetra dalbergiae. RNAcentral describes it as "partial small subunit ribosomal RNA". Lineage: Eukaryota; Metazoa; Arthropoda; Arachnida; Trombidiformes; Eriophyidae. The record is from RNAcentral.